RNAcentral lists this unclassified non-coding RNA (523 nucleotides) under plant metagenome. RNAcentral describes it as "partial contains 5.8S ribosomal RNA, internal transcribed spacer 2, and large subunit ribosomal RNA". The stretch from base 1 to 109 matches the Rfam family "5.8S ribosomal RNA", at positions 50 to 154 of the family's 154-position model. The record is from RNAcentral.
AAACUGCGAUACUUAGUGUGAAUUGCAGAACUACGUGAAUCAUCAAGAUUUUGAACGCAUCUUGCGCUCUUGGAGCUUUCACUCUUUGAGCAUGCCUAUUUGAGUACGGUUUUUAUUCUUUUUUUUAUUAUUCUUUUUUAUAAAGAAUUCUAAAAAAAUUAUCAUUCUUUUAAUUAAAGAAUGGACUUUGGGCAAUCACAAUUUAUAACAUGAUUGUGUUUCCUGAAAAAGAAAAGUGAAAUGAAAAUAAAACAAAAUUACAAAAUUAUUUAAAUCUGUAAAAUAAUGAAAGUAGUUAUCAAUAAUCAAAAGUGUGAAUUUUUUUCUAAACUUGGAUUAAUUUUCAUUUAACUUUCAUUUAUUUGUGUUCUUUUUUGAGAACUAUAGAUAUAUAUUUUUUGUUUAAAUGUUAAUUUUAUAUUUCAUUAUGAAAAUAAUUAAAAUUUUUAAAUUUUAAUUUGAAAAAACAAAUUAAAAAAAACCUCGAUCUCAAAUUAGGUAAGAAUACCCGCUGAACUUAAGC